RNAcentral lists this ribosomal RNA (492 nucleotides) under uncultured bacterium. RNAcentral describes it as "partial 16S ribosomal RNA". It matches the Rfam family "Bacterial small subunit ribosomal RNA", at positions 29 to 507 of the family's 1533-position model. The record is from RNAcentral.
AUUGAACGCUGGCGGCAUGCUUUACACAUGCAAGUCGAACGGUAACAGGCCUUCGGGUGCUGACGAGUGGCGAACGGGUGAGUAAUGCAUCGGAACGUACCCAGAGGUGGGGGAUAACGCAGCGAAAGCUGUGCUAAUACCGCAUGUGAUCUGAGGAUGAAAGCGGGGGACCGAGCAGCAAUGUUUGGCCUCGCGCCUUUGGAGCGGCCGAUGUCGGAUUAGCUAGUUGGUGGGGUAAAGGCCUACCAAGGCGACGAUCCGUAGCUGGUCUGAGAGGACGACCCGCCCCACUGGGACUGAGACACGGCCCAGACUCCUACGGGAGGCAGCAGUGGGGAAUUUUGGACAAUGGGCGCAAGCCUGAUCCAGCAAUGCCGCGUGCGGGAAGAAGGCCUUCGGGUUGUAAACCGCUUUUGGCAGGAACGAAACGGUGUCCGCUAAUACCGGGCGCUAAUGACGGUACCUGCAGAAUAAGCACCGGCUAACUACGUG